Corvus hawaiiensis (hawaiian crow) is the source of this 4066-nucleotide long non-coding RNA. RefSeq lists it as uncharacterized. Lineage: Eukaryota; Metazoa; Chordata; Aves; Passeriformes; Corvidae. The transcript has 2 exons. The record is from RefSeq and is a predicted model, not a curated record.
AUUUUGCUCCAAGAGGAAAUGAGUGUUCUCGGAAGGAUUAACAUGCUUGGUUUAUGCUGAUCACAGCAGCACCUGUGCCCUUGUAGUGAAAGACAUGGAGGCUGAGCCUUAGGGAAACACAGUUUCAGGGGUUUAUUUAUCAGACGUCAUACAGCACCGAUCAGCCUUCUGUUUAAUCACUGUGCUGCACACCCGCUCUGCCCCUCCAGUGAAUGAGCGGCUCGCUUUGCUCUCACAGUCCCAGCUCAGGGCAGCAGCUUCUGUGUUAGAAAAAUGCUCCAAAACUGGGACAUUUGUCUGCCAUUACUCUCUGUCUACCAAACUCUCAUGUUUCAGGCUUAGGACACUAAAUUGGAGACAUGUCCAAAGAAAAUAAACCCAAACCACCACAACAACAAACACAGCCAAAACCAAACAAGCCAACAACAAAACCCCUUGUUUCCCUUACCUUGAGCCCUUCCCACAGGCUGUGUCUGCCCUGGCCUGGAAGGAUCACCUCCAGAACGCAAAUAAGGUUUCUACAUCUCUAGAGAAGUUGAAUAUUGACAACACUAAAUCAUGAGAAACUCUACUCCUGAACGAGGCUUCGCUUCAACUUCCGAGAGAGAACCUCCAGCAUGAACUUUCUCCUAUGGCCGAGGAAUCUUAUACUUCAAUCCACUCUGACAGCACAAAAUCCCUUCUAAUUGAAUCCAGAAUUAUCAGCCCAGAAUAUCCAUGCUAACUUUAACCAGAAUUUUACCCAGAAACUCAACAUGAUAAAUGAACCAGAAGUUAUGAGGUGAAAGUCAAAUACUAUCAACACAGGAGAAACUCGGUUUUUCUUAGCUAUACACAUGAUUACAAGAAGUGUUUUAGGCUUCUAUUCCUUUGUGUUUCAAGCCACUGUAGUAUCUUACCUAACUUAUUUCAUGGUCUGGGAAAUUGAAAGUAAUAAGGCAGCACAGGGACCUAUCCCAAGUCUCAGCAUUAACAGUCUUUGUCCCAUCAGACUGUUGGUUUCUGUGUGUUUUGUCACUGGUUUUGGUUUCCAAAUCUCACUUAUCUACAAAACCUCCACUUUCAUAUUUGUGAGGAAUUCCCCUACUACUGUGGUACAUUAAGAAAACAAAUAGAGCAUGCAAUAAUUUAUGACUGGAACAUAAAAAGAGUAAGCCCAAUGGUUUUUGACAAUCAUUGUAUGGUCAUAAAAUGUUCUUUAAUGCCAAGUCAUCCACCACAGUCAGGUGCCACAGAAAAAGAAAAGCUGUUUUCCAGCAAAGUUACCCUCAAAAUUUGAGCUCAUACAUUCAGCUUUGCUCAGAAGAGUGAGAAGAGAGGCUACUGUGAAAAACCAAUUAUAUUUUGGCACCGGUGAAUUACUGCAAAAGGAAUCAACAGCUGUGUGAGAUGUUGCAGGCAGAAAAAGCUUUUGUAAGGUAGUCUAAAACCACGUUGUGAAUGUUGGAGAGCUAUGAAUUUUAGUUAAUAUAUUGAGUCCCGAAAGCCUUUAUUCAAAGGCCAGAACUCCUCCCUGCCAAUACCAGAGUUUGGAAAAUUACUUUAUGGAAUGCACCCAACCAUUCUCUUGCAAGAAAUACAUAUUGGCAGCUCCAGUGUCUGUGGCAAUGCUCCAAAGCCUCUGCAAAAGCUCAACAUGUCUUCCUUUAAAAAGCAGACCAUUUCCUGGAACACUCUCUUCCAAGAGUGCCAAACCAGAACUAUAUCUGCUGUUGUGAACCUUUGACCUCGAAAGGCUUUGAUGUCUUUUCAGGAGAAACAGCACCCUUUUCGAAGCGUUUGUGCACCCUCUGUGCAUGUCCAAGGGAGCUGGUUUUGAAUGCUAUAGCACAGUUGGUACCCAACAGCAUCCCAGAGAUCGGAAUACACAGGAGCAGAGACCCAAAACCUCUCUGGUUUUGCAGAGACACAACCUGAGAUCAGCUGAGUUGGUCAGAGCAGGUGCUAAUAAUGCCAAGGUUUUGGGGUUGAUCUCAUACAGGCCGUUCACUUAAGAGUUGGACUUGAUGAUCCUUCUGGGUCCCUUCCAACUCAGAAUAUUUUGUGAUUCUGUGAACCAACAACAUUUUGGACAAUGCCGUUCCAUCGCAGUCUAAAACAGGAUGCAAAUCCUUUUGUAAAAGGAAACUCAACUUAUCAGAACAAGUUGUUUACUUAGAGCGCUAUACCAAAGCUAGCCAUUACCACUGUACCUUUAAUAAAAGAAAAAAGGAUCAUAAAAGAGAAAACUGUGAAUUAAAUCCAAGAUAGGACCCUUUGAUUUUCUUUGAUUACUCCCCAAAAAGCCACCAUGGUGACCUUAACAAAGCUUUGUUUCUCCAUUGCUAAAGAGGACAUAAGGAAAUUUCAUUUUUCCUGAAAUACCAGGUGUCUGAGACCAUGAGACAAAGCACACAAGUUAUGUAGGGCUUGGUUUCCAAAUCUCACUUAUCUGCAGAACCUCCACCUUCAAGUUUGCAAGAGACUCCCUGAGCAUAGUUUCUCCUUCCCACCCAACAUAAAGAUGACAUGAAGCUAUUUAUCCAAGCAAAUUCUAGUUGUUCUCUUUCAUACCAAAGUCUGACUCAUGCCUAGGGCACAGUUUUAUUAAUUUUUCCAUCUCCAUUUCAUGUAACUGGUGCUCUCUGAGGACUCACACCAUUUCUUCCAACACUGACUUUAAGUCUCCUAGAGGUGUUUUUCUUCCAUGAGGCACAGCCAAAUGCUGGCAGGCUCCAGGCCAGUCCCUCAGAAUACUCAUUUAUCAAUGCACCACAGAUAUUCCUCAUCACUGCUAACAUUUUGCAGUUGAAGCCCUGUCAGCUGUGCAACACAGAAAAGAUCUCUUUCAGAGAGAAACAUGACUUCAGGCAGUACAAUGCUGGCAACUCACAGCUUCAUUAUUCCCCAACACUGCUUAUCCAGCAGGCACUGUACAAACUAAAUUGGGGGACAAAUGAAGCCUUUCACGUUUUCAUUCCCCUUUAGAAACAGACAUAGAAAUACAGCACUCUUUACUGGGAUUUUUCCUUCUGUUAACAUGGCUGUAAAUUCAUUAUCCAAAUGUGAAGGUGCAAGCAGGAAGGGAGUUUUGUCUUAAGGGAACUGAAUUGAGGAAGUGUGGACAAUCAGCUCAGUGUCUGACCACCACAGCAGAGAACCCACAAUCAACUCUUCAAGACAGAGAUAUCAGGAUUAUGCCAAAAGUAGCUCAGUGCUACCUGCUGUUAUCGUGGAAUCCUGGAGUCAUUUCAGUUGGAAAAGAUCUCCUGGAUCAUCGACUCCAACCUGUGCCAAAUCCCCACCUUGUCACCCAGCCCAGAUCACUGAAUUCCUUGGACACCUCCAGGGAUGGGACUCCAUCACCUGACAAUCCUUUCAGUGAUGAAGUUCUUCCAGAUAUCCAAACUAAACAUCUCCUGGGACAGCAUGAGGCCAUUUCCUCUUGUCCUGUCAAAGUGAAAUAAAACAACAGGAAGUAUUAGCAAGGAAACACAGAUCAGAUCAACUAAACCCAUGACACAGCCACAUCCCAUUAGCUCAGACUCCAAUAAUAUAAACUAGAUCUGGAAAAUACGCAAACAUGGGCAAUGGGGGAAAUAUGGGCUUCAGGAGCAAGGGCACAGGAGAUAAAAAGAUGUGCAAGAGAUGGCCAUGAAGAUGUAAAUGAGCCUGAGAAAGAAGACAUGUCACCUCCCCUGUCCUUGCAGGACAAGAAAAUGGAGUUCACAAAAGCCAUCAUUGUGCUCUAUGCUAAAACAGUCAAGAGAAGGGCCCUUUGCUGCAGGACAAGGAGCCAGCCCAGAAACUCUCGGUACAUUUGGGAUUAGACAGAUCCAUGGGAGGAAGGUGCAGCAACCAGAGCUCUUCAACACUUGGCUGUGAUGUGAACUCCAACUCAGGGAGUCUCCAGCACCUGCCUGCUCAGCAAGUGCAUCCCAAGGGAGCACCAGCUGCUUGCAGGUUGCUGGUCAUCCUUAGAGAUGGGAUGUUGGGAUCCAGCCCAAGCCAGCAGAGCUGGUUUGCCCUCCACAAGUGUCAGGCCAAGAUGUUCUUUGCCUCUGAAAUAAACACAAGUAAAGUGGUC